Gavialis gangeticus (Gharial) is the source of this 135-nucleotide long non-coding RNA. RefSeq lists it as uncharacterized. Lineage: Eukaryota; Metazoa; Chordata; Crocodylia; Gavialidae. The transcript is spliced from 3 exons. The record is from RefSeq and is a predicted model, not a curated record.
CACUGCUUCAUUGUUAUAAUAGUGAAGAAGUUUUUCCUAAUCUCCAAUCUAACCCUACUUUGCUGCAAAUUCAAGCCAUUGUUCUGCAUUCUGCUCUCUGCAGCAAGAGGGAAAAGGUGGAAAAUGUGUUUUCUC